RNAcentral lists this long non-coding RNA (634 nucleotides) under Chrysemys picta bellii (western painted turtle). RNAcentral describes it as "lncRNA (ENSCPBG00000024297.1)". Lineage: Eukaryota; Metazoa; Chordata; Testudines; Emydidae. The record is from RNAcentral.
CCCCAAUUUCUGCCAGGGUUUAUACACAUGUUUUGUGGGGAGAUGAUCCACCCCUCUCUGAGGACGUCAGGAUGUGACCAGUGCCCACUACCUGCAUGACUGAUACAAACAUUUAUUUGUAUUUGCAUGCAUGGGCUGUAACUGGCUGUAAAACAUUGAGAUUCUGUUUUAAGAAAAAGCCUAUGCAACAAUAAAUGGCAUCAUAUUAUAUUACAUCCUCUGUCCCUAAUUUUAGCAGUGAGCCCUCUUUCUCAAGCACUUUCUGGGGAGUUGUCUGACAGUUAGUUUGGUACAAUCUAAAUAUUAUCAAGAGGGCAUGAGGGAGCAUACACUGGGUGGCAGUUUCAAGGGCAGCAGAUAAAAACCAUAUUGUCUUUCAUUACAGAGCUAAGGGUCUAUAAGCAAAAUACAGCAUUUCGGAGACGAUUCAAUGAAAGACAUACAACCUGAACAAAAAAUGAGAAUGGCAGGAGGUCAUGCUCAGGAAGGCUAAGUGAACAGUACAAACGUAUUCUAUGGGCAAUGAAGGAGUUUCAGAUAUGGUGCUGAAUGACUCCAAGCAAAAUGAGAGUGCUGCCAACCAAAUCCUCAGGCCAAGCAAAAAACUACAGAUGGUGAAGAUCCUACAAUAUAU